Molecule: ribosomal RNA, 316 nt
Filed under: Polyplax arvicanthis
Lineage: Eukaryota; Metazoa; Arthropoda; Insecta; Psocodea; Polyplacidae
Description: partial 16S ribosomal RNA
Rfam family: Archaeal large subunit ribosomal RNA
Source: RNAcentral
GACUGUGCUAAGGUAGCAUAAUAAUUUGCCUCUUAAUUGGAGGCUGGAAUGAAUGGGUUAACUUGAGCUUGACUGUCUCUUUUUAGACUACAAAACUUUAGUUUUAAGUAAAAACGCUUAAAUUCCCUAGAGGGACGAGAAGACCCUUCAGAUCUUCCCCAGUGGGUGUGAGCUGUUACUCCGCCUUAAGGGUUACCUGGGAGGGGGUUUAAAUGAUAAACUUUAAAAUAAAUAAAAGACUUUAAGGUUAUUUAUUGUCUAAUUUGUUGAUCCUUAUUGGAUAGGUUGAAAAGAUACCUGAGGGAUAACAGCGUAA